AUGGAGAGCCCUCUCCACCUCUUUGAGGUCAGUCUAGAUUCUAGGAAUACAUCUCCAUCUCUAGAGGAGAAAAUCCCAAUCUUGAGCUAUCUAGUUCCUUGUCAUACUUCUCCACAAACCAGCCCUACUCAUAUUAACAAGGUGCACAUUCUUUUAGGGAGCCCAUCUGAAAACAACUAUGAGCUGCUAUACCUUGACUCACUUGACGUGGACUUUAGGACAGUCCAUAAGGAUUAUAUGGAUGAGAGGACGAUAACUGUUCUUCCAAGGGUCAAAGCGUGGAAUGAAGGUCUGAUCAAAUCAGUAAUUAAGAAGGACAGGAUUAGGAAGGGUGUCUAUGGAAAGUUGCGACUAAAAGCCGAGUUCUCAAGAUGUGCAGAAGAUAGUGUUUUUGGGAGCAUGGAUCACAUCCAGAAGUUUGUUGCUGCGAGGCUUCCUCAAAACUACAACAGCAAUAAACAAAGGAGGUUGUCAAUGCUGGUCCAUGAUAUGUGCUCUGAAAUAUCAGUCCAAAUUGGGAGUAGCAGUAAGUGCAAGGAGACACUUUUGGCGUCCGAUGACGAGGAGGAGGAAUUCGACGAGCAAGAAUUUGAAUCUUCAGAAGAAGAAAAGGAGGAGAAAGGGAAAGAUGAGGACAGUCCUGAAGAGGAGAGUUCGGAUAAUGAUGGGGACAACAAUGCUGACGACGGCGACGAUGACUAUGAUGAUGAUGUUCCGUCAUACAGCAGCCUGCCAUCAGCCACGGAAUAUGAUGAUGAUUCACAUCACAUGGACGGUGACAACUCACAGCCGCCCCUUGCUGGUGAAGAAGAUGGUGGAGAUGAGGAAGACGACGGUGAGGAUGAUGUUGAAGAUGUAGAGCAGGACAGGGAGGAUGAUGAUGAAGAGGAACGGGAUGAUGAAGAGGACAAAGAGAAGGAGAGAAAUGUGGAAGAGGGCAAUGAUGAUAAAGAGAAUGAACCAGAAAAGGAAGUGGGGGAAUCGAAGGAGAAACAAGAUGAUGAAAAGAAUGAAGAAGAGGAAAAAGGGGAGGAAGACAAAGAGGAUGAUGAUGAUGAGGCGGAGCAAGAUGAUCCACCUUUUGAUCUUGGGAUAGAUGAGCCAACAGGAAUAACAGGCGAGGAGGGCAAGGUAGCAGAGGAUAAGGGGGUUGCAAAUGCAGCUACCCCGGUGACAUUGAGUGAGGAAUUGACUGGGGCAAUAUGGACUUCGAUGAAGUUGUCAAGGGGCAGUGAAAAAUGUUAGCCUUUCUUUUUGUUCUACAGGCUGCAAAUCAUAAACUAUCGUGGUUACUUCUGCACAAUCAAGGAGCUUGCUCAAUCAAUGAGGAAGGCAGGAUGGAUCAAGACACAUGUCUUUGAGUUAGGUAUUGAAGCAAUCAUGUACAACAAAAAUGUGGGGUCCAAGAAAAUAAUCAUGUCUGUUAGGUUUUUGACUUGGCUUCAAAGGCUCGAUCUCGAUGUGAGGGAGCUGCAUGAUAGGUUCAAAAAAUCAAACCGUUUGGAUGAGCAAGACAUGUUCGACAUGGUUAUGAUUCCUGUGCUUGAAAAUUUAGACCCAGAGAACGCCGAUGGUGCACACCACUACUGGGUACUCAACAUCAAUCUGAGGGACAAAAGGUUCGAAGUGCUUGACUCAUGGAGGAUGUUAAAGAAAAGCAAGAGGUUGGAUGAUGUUGCAAAGGCUAUUGUAGCUGCAGUUCAUGUGUUGUGGGACACAUACUAUCCAAAACAAGCAAAGACAAUGGACAAGUUCCUGCUUGUGGAUAUCGAUGCACCAAAGCAGACUGUAUCCGGUGACUGUAGCAUAUUCCCAUUGAUGAACACGUUAUUGUGGAACGGGACGUGGCUCCCGAACUAUGGACAAAGCAACAUACCAAACAUCAGGAAGAAGAUGACCAUCUCCAUGCUGAAGUGUGACCUGAACAAGAUUCCAUGGCAGGAGAUCCUCAAACUGGCCAACAAGUGA
Molecule: ribosomal RNA, 1968 nt
Filed under: Triticum aestivum (bread wheat)
Lineage: Eukaryota; Viridiplantae; Streptophyta; Magnoliopsida; Poales; Poaceae
Description: partial small subunit ribosomal RNA
Source: RNAcentral